This 233-nucleotide long non-coding RNA is filed under the name Eucalyptus grandis. Its description in RNAcentral is "long non-coding RNA (EGRA_LNC002275)". The record is from RNAcentral. Lineage: Eukaryota; Viridiplantae; Streptophyta; Magnoliopsida; Myrtales; Myrtaceae.
UUAUAUACAGAUCCAAACCCCCCUUGGCCAAGCUCAUUGACGGAGGAAAAAUUGCUUGUGGCUGCAGCUACCGUGCCAAAAUCAAAGAAUGGUAGAUCUGUUUGUGGUCUACCUUCCCUGUUGAGGUCUUUCAGACCCGUAAGCACGUCAAAAGGUCUUUCAGACCCGUAAGCACGUCAAAAUUUGUCAAGCUUGUGGUAACACUAACAUUAUGAUUACGCCUUCUUCUAUCU